CUGAAGAUGAAGGUCCUCUGGAUUGUAACUUCUUUAUCUGGGACGAAAAAGGGAAUCUUUCCCACUUGACGGUACCAGAGGAAUAAGCACCGGCUAACUCCGUGCCAGCAGCCGCGGUAAUACGGAGGGUGCAAGCGUUAUCCGGGUUUACUGGGUUUAAAGGGUGCGUAGGUGGGCAGGUAAGUCAGUGGUGAAAUCUUCGAGCUUAACUCGGAAACUGCCAUUGAUACUAUCUGUCUUGAAUAUCCUGGAGGUGAGCGGAAUAUGUCAUGUAGCGGUGAAAUGCUUAGAUAUGACAUAGAACACCAAUUGCGAAGGCAGCUCGCUACGGGAAGAUUGACACUGAGGCACGAAAGCGUGGGGAUCAAACAGGAUUAGAUACCCUGGUAGUCCACGCCCUAAACGAUGGAUACUCGACAUGUGCGAUACACUGUAUGUGUCUGAGCGAAAGCAUUAAGUAUCCCACCUGGGAAGUACGAGCGCAAGGUUGAAACUCAAAGGAAUUGACGGGGGUCCG
Molecule: ribosomal RNA, 517 nt
Filed under: uncultured bacterium
Lineage: Bacteria
Description: bacterial SSU rRNA
Rfam family: Bacterial small subunit ribosomal RNA
Source: RNAcentral